This 254-nucleotide ribosomal RNA is filed under the name uncultured bacterium. RNAcentral's name for it is "partial 16S ribosomal RNA". It matches the Rfam family "Bacterial small subunit ribosomal RNA", at positions 526 to 779 of the family's 1533-position model. The record is from RNAcentral.
CGUAGGUGCGAGCGUUGUCCGGAAUUACUGGGCGUAAAGAGCUCGUAGGCGGUUUGUCACGUCGUCUGUGAAAUCCCUAGGGCUUAACCCUGGACGUGCAGGCGAUACGGGCUGACUUGAGUACUACAGGGGAGACUGGAAUUUCUGGUGUAGCGGUGGAAUGCACAGAUAUCAGGAAGAACACCGAUGGCGAAGGCAGGUCUCUGGGUAGUAACUGACGCUGAGGAGCGAAAGCAUGGGUAGCGAACAGGAUU